GCACUGGGGAUAAUUCCGGAUAACGCAUAUUUGCUGGAAUGCUUUAUGCGUCAAAAGGAUUCGUCUGCCCAAGGAUGGGUCUGCGGCCUAUCAGGUAGUAGUGGGUGUAAUGUACCUACUAGCCAGCGACGGGUACGGGUUGUGAGAGCAAGAGCCCGGAGAUGGAUUCUGAGACAUGAAUCCAGGCCCUACGGGGCGCAGCAGGCGCGAAAACUUUACAAUGCGGGAAACCGUGAUAAGGGGACACCGAGUGCCAGCAUCAUAUGCUGGCUGUCCGGAUGUGUAAAAUACAUCCGUUAGCAAGGGCCGGGCAAGACCGGUGCCAGCCGCCGCGGUAACACCGGCGGCCCGAGUGGUGAUCGUGAUUAUUGGGUCUAAAGGGUCCGUAGCCGGUUUGGUCAGUCCUCCGGGAAAUCUGAUAGCUCAACUAUUAGGCUUUCGGGGGAUACUGCCAGACUUGGAACCGGGAGAGGUAAGAGGUACUACAGGGGUAGGAGUGAAAUCUUGUAAUCCCUGUGGGACCACCUGUGGCGAAGGCGUCUUACCAGAACGGGUUCGACGGUGAGGGACGAAAGCUGGGGGCACGAACCGGAUUAGAUACCCGGGUAGUCCCAGCCGUAAACGAUGCUCGCUAGGUGUCAGGCAUGGCGCGACCGUGUCUGGUGCCGCAGGGAAGCCGUGAAGCGAGCCACCUGGGAAGUACGGCCGCAAGGCUGAAACUUAAAGGAAUUGGCGGGGGAGCACAACAACGGGUGGAGCCUGCGGUUUAAUUGGACUCAACGCCGGACAACUCACCGGGGGCGACAGCAAUAUGUAGGCCAAGCUGAAGACUUUGCCUGAAUCGCUGAGAGGAGGUGCAUGGCC
Molecule: ribosomal RNA, 864 nt
Filed under: Methanosarcina mazei
Lineage: Archaea; Methanobacteriati; Methanobacteriota; Methanomicrobia; Methanosarcinales; Methanosarcinaceae
Description: bacterial SSU rRNA
Rfam family: Archaeal small subunit ribosomal RNA
Source: RNAcentral